UCCCUGGUGUUCUUGUGGGUAGGAUUUGGCACUCUCAUUGCCAUGGCCCAGGUUGGAUUCCCGGUCGGGGAA
This 72-nucleotide transfer RNA is filed under the name Albula glossodonta (roundjaw bonefish). Its description in RNAcentral is "tRNA-OTHER". It matches the Rfam family "tRNA". From Rfam's summary of the family: Transfer RNA (tRNA) molecules are approximately 80 nucleotides in length. Their secondary structure includes four short double-helical elements and three loops (D, anti-codon, and T loops). Lineage: Eukaryota; Metazoa; Chordata; Actinopteri; Albuliformes; Albulidae. The record is from RNAcentral.